Molecule: long non-coding RNA, 786 nt
Filed under: Daucus carota (carrot)
Lineage: Eukaryota; Viridiplantae; Streptophyta; Magnoliopsida; Apiales; Apiaceae
Description: long non-coding RNA (DCAR_LNC005182)
Source: RNAcentral
AGGGGCACUGGUUGCUGUAGAAUGUGAUGGCACAGACUCGAGCCCGAAAAUCCGAAAAGAGGUGAAAACAAACAAGCACGGGAAAUUUAGAGUAAAUUUACCAUCCCGGGUGGCCAAACAUGUCAAGAACAUCAAGAAAUGCUCCGUGAACUUGGUUCGGAGCAAUGAUGCCAACUGCGCGGUGGCAUCGACAGCAACAGCUUCUUCAAUUCAUCUCAAAUCAAUUAAAGCCAGAACCCACAUUUUCUCAGCUGGUUUUUUAGCUUUCAAACCCCUGACGCAGCCAAGCAUAUGCAAUCAAAAACCACAAAUUUCAAAUAGGCCACCUACGAAGCCACCAAAACGAGCAGCUCAUAAAAAAACCAGAAAGGGCCUGGUAAACCAAAAAAUGUUUUCUUUAUUUCCACCUCUGAUUCCAAACCCCUUUCAGCCACCACCAGCAAUACUUCCUCCCAUCAUCCCUUCGCCACCGCCUUCAAUAUUUCCUCCUUUCUUCCCAUCACCUCCGCCUUCAAUAUUUCCUCCUGUUUUUCCGACCCCUCCACAGCCACCACCUUCAAUAUUUCCUCCAUUUUUCCCUGCACCACCAGUAGCACCUCCUCCAUCAAUAUUUCCUCCACUCUUCCCUCCAAUACCGGGAUUUAGUCCUCCGGUGGUGAUGCCACCACCGCCACCGCCACCAGUCUUCCCAUUUCUUCCACCAGGAUUCCCCGGAGUGCCGCCAGUGGCAAGGUCAAGUCAUUCAGAAGAGACAAAACAUCCUUAAUUAAAUGAAAGUCACAUGCA